UGAGCGCGCCUGUCAAGCUGCAAGAACCUGACCUUUUGACCUGGGCUACGUGACAUUGGCAUUCUCUCUAUCGCAUUUAGCAAUAAGUUACAGUUGUUGAGCACAGUUGAUGUACGUUUUUUGGCUCUGAUCGAUCGGGACGAAUGGCAUCGUCAGCCAUCAUCAGGUCGACAUGGGGAUGGGGAGGAAGAAGAUGCGAAUUCCGAUGGCUUGCAGCUUACAGGAGGCUGUGAAAAAAAUGUUUGAUCAAAUAUUUAAGACAAAGUGGUAAAGUAAAUAUAAGAGCAGUAGCGUACUCCGCAACAUAUGCGCGAU
This 315-nucleotide long non-coding RNA is filed under the name Volvox carteri. RNAcentral's name for it is "long non-coding RNA (VCAR_LNC004026)". The record is from RNAcentral. Lineage: Eukaryota; Viridiplantae; Chlorophyta; Chlorophyceae; Chlamydomonadales; Volvocaceae.